AUUGAACGCUGGCGGCAGGCCUAACACAUGCAAGUCGAGCGGAUGAAGGGAGCUUGCUCCUGGAUUCAGCGGCGGACGGGUGAGUAAUGCCUAGGAAUCUGCCUGGUAGUGGGGGAUAACGUCCGGAAACGGGCGCUAAUACCGCAUACGUCCUGAGGGAGAAAGUGGGGGAUCUUCGGACCUCACGGUAUCAGAUGAGCCUAGGUCGGAUUAGCUAGUUGGUGGGGUAAAGGCCUACCAAGGCGACGAUCCGUAACUGGUCUGAGAGGAUAAUCAGUCACACUGGAACGGAGACACGGUCCAGACUCCUACGGGAGGCAGCAGUGGGGAAUAUUGGACAAUGGGCGAAAGCCUGAUCCAGCCAUGCCGCGUGUGUGAAGAAGGUCUUCGGAUUGUAAAGCACUUUAAGUUGGGAGGAAGGGCAGUAAGUUAAUACCUUGCUGUUUUGACGUUACCAACAGAAUAAGCACCGGCUAACUUCGUG
RNAcentral lists this ribosomal RNA (484 nucleotides) under uncultured bacterium. Its description in RNAcentral is "partial 16S ribosomal RNA". It matches the Rfam family "Bacterial small subunit ribosomal RNA", at positions 30 to 507 of the family's 1533-position model. The record is from RNAcentral.